GUCAUUCUUCCACACAUAAAGGGAAAACGGACUCACUAGGAGGACCUAGACUCUUUCAGCUUGAACUGUUAACCAAUGGUGGAAAUGCAAGAAUGCUGAAGUUGUGCCUUCAGAGCCAAUAGAGUGGAUUUGUGUGUCCCACAUGACUGUGUUUCCCCAGUCUUUCACAUGGGCAGUAUUUAGUUCAAUUCAGAACUGCAGAUAGUAUAGCAUGCAGAGCAGCAAUGGGAUGUCUGAGCACAAGUGGCUGACUUCCAGGCGCCUUCAGGAAGCACAUUUGUACAUUUCUCCUGAAUUAAACUGGGAUUCUGCACCCUUGACAUGUUCCUUACCUCCUUGUCUCUGCAGGAGGAGACAGUGACCUGCAUAGCACAACAAAACUACAAAUCAACACACAUGUGGAGACCAGCAAAUGGAGUGAACUGAGAGCAAUUGACCAUUGUCAUCUGUGUUGGUUCCCCAGAAGUCGAUGAAAAAUGUUAUCGGGCCUCCAAGGUACAACCCAGAGAUCAGUCGGUUGUGCUAUACAAUUAGCAAAUGAUUAAACCAAGCUGUUUUCAUUGAUUACAUUAAGAUCCUUGCAGCAGUGAGAGCUAUUAUCUUGUGUAGAAGACUGUACCUUCACAGAUUUUGUUGUUUCUUAGAACUUUAUUAACAAUGUGCCACACCAGCCAAAUGAUCAGGCAGCAGUGCCAUCUCAGAUACAAGGAAAAGAUCAUUAUGAAACUCCACCUACCUCAUCUGGGCAAAUAAAGGCUUUGUGGCAAACAAAUGCAAGAAAAAUUACUCAUUUCUCUUCAGACACACUCUGAGGGAAGCAAUCACUCUCCACCUUGGUCCCUAUCAGAUGAGCAUCCAUAUGCCAGCUGGUGUAAAUGCAGAUCCCACUGAUGUCAAUGGAGCUGUGUCAAUUUACACAAGUUGAGAAUCUGAUAUCAAGUGUGUUAGUGGAAUUUUUAGACACUGCCAUUAGCAUUCACUUUUGCAACACAAUUAAAAACACAUCCGUGCAUUACAUUUCUUCCUGUCCCCAAGUGUGUCACCGAAAGCCUGUUGACAGACUGUGGAAGUGGGCAAGUGGGAGGUAGAAGUAGCCUACAACUGUAUCCAUGAAAUAACUUUGCAAUAUGGAUAUUAAGAGUACUGUUCUGUUUUCUUCCCUUUAUACAAACAUAUAUUUACCUUCAAAAAGACUUAGCUCCGCCUUCCAGCUGCAAUUCAGUGCCAGUAAAAAAAAAAAAGUCGCUGUAAACCAUGCAGAGCAUCUACCAUAUAAAUAUGUUAAAAUACUAUUGUAAUCAGUGUACAAUCUGAAUAGACUGGUUUAAUGCAUCAUUAGGGAAAUUAUCUAAAAUCAUAAGAAACCCCGCAAACCUGAGAUCUGUGUAUUCACCUAGGUAUUUAUUCGCAAGCAGUCUCACUGCUGUACAAGCAGUAAGAUUGUUAGAAGUACUAAAACAACUGUUUGAAGCAGACUGCAAGCCAGACCCGUCUGUGAGCUACCAUUAAUAUUUCAUCAACCGUUUAUGAGGGGGAGGGAGAAAGAAGAAAGGAAGGCAAUAAGCAGGGCAGAGUAGUACUUCACAGCUCUAGCCACCAUUUCCAAGUAGGGAGUGAGAGCUUUUAUUACUGUUUUACAUAAGGCAGCUGUUCAACAUGAGUGUACUGUGUAACAGUUGCUAGUAUUAACCAGUACAAUGAAGUUGAGCACUAGUCUUUAGAUUCAAGAUACCAAGGUCAAAAUGGGAAAGCUAACUAAUGAGAACCAAAGAUGCAGUUCAUGUAGCAUUGAAGCGACUGUCUGUUCAGCAUAACACCCAUAUCUUCAAUUUAGGUCAGGCCAUGAAGAGAGGGAAAAGGACUGAAGAUGAGAUGCUCUACUUCACACAGUUGCCCUCUGGAAGGAAUGGCAAAGGCAGUCACUUAAAUUAAGUACAGGUCAUCAGACAAGAUACCUAAUCUAUUCCUAAGACCGGCAGCUCCAGCAGUCCAAGUCCCUAUGGCCUUUACAGCGACACAACGAACUAUUUCCUCAUGUACCUCUGUCAAUUCAUGUUAGGUUCCAAUGUUUUUAAAGCAAUAUUUCAUGUAUACCAUGACCCUAUUGCUCAUACAAAGGAAAACACUUUAGUUUAUUUAUGACCUACUAACCUUAAAUGAAAAAAAAAAACCAUACAUCCAAUAUGAAUGUUCACAUAAGCCUGCAGAUCUGAAGUAAAACUUAAAAAAGCUGGCAUUUGUAGCAGCAAGCUAAGCCCUGUAAGAGAUUUUAAAAAAAUGAAAACCAGAUGAGAGAAUAUGAAAGCAUUUUUACCCUGCAUAACCUGCACACAUCAGGAAUCGGGGUUGGAGCUCAGGAACACUUUUUUGUGGUUUUGUACUUACAAGUUUCAUCCCAUUUCUACAGAGGCUAGGUAUCCAAAGAAAGACUGAGAUUUUUUCAUUAUGGGGGUGGGAAGAGCAUGACAAUAACCUGUGAAAGUAAUUCCUUCUAUGAUGCAAUCCACCCAGCUGCAAUCUCUAUAUAGUUCCUCUCCUUCUCCUAUCCCUCUCCCUAACUGCCAGGUGUCAGCCAAGCAAGACCUUGUAUUGAAAUGUGAAGAGAGAGAUGGAAGUGGGAAUUAAGAACAUGGGAAUGGGUACUGAAAAGAAUGGCACACCGAAAGUGAGCAUAUAAUAGGGAGGAUGUUAAACGUGAGUGACCCUAAAACAUAAAGUCUAUUCAUUUGGCUAGAACGAUAUUGCACAGAAGCAGAUGCAGAAAAGACUACUGAGUUGGAAAGUCAUUCUCUCAUCCCUCAAGCUGGUGUAAAGAACUCCUUUUGUAACAUCCACAGAAUUUUACUGUAGAAGAGUCAGUACAAAUAAAAGGAGAAAAAAAAAAGAAAGAAAUUGAACUUCAGAGCUGAAAUAUGAAGUAUCAACAGCAAAUAUCCUGUAUUGCUGUAUUGGGGAAAAAAAAAGACGGCCAUAUUUUGUUAGAAUUCAGAGAUAUUCACAGUCACAGUUGCCUUCCUAAACAAAGCACAUGUAAUCUACCAUAAAGGAGAAAAUGAGUUGAUUUAAUUCCUUUUCCCCAAUAGGCUGCAUUAACGACUCUUUGUCUUUUAGAUAUAUUUAAGAGAAAAUACAUUUGAGUUAAAUGACGUAAUAAAUACCUCUAUAUGCAGAGCAAUUAAUUGAAAAAAGCAGCUAGGACAAAGUCCUUGUCAUGGUGUUUGCUUAUAAAAUAGAUACAGGCAGCACAGUUUUGAAUUGCAGUAUUUUGGUGCUUAUUUCCUUUAUUGAAGUACAAACAAUUUUAACAAAAACCUGCAACAUUUAUAAAGACUUUUAAAACAACCAGAAAUGGAUGAGAACUAAUAUACAAUGUAUUUUAACAAAGGACAAGGUAAACAAACAGCAAUUUUUAGAAUCCAAUAAUUUCAGUCCAGCAAGGUAAGAGUGGACCUAGCAAAAGAGAAUCCAGACCAGCUGAGCUGCAAGACCACCUUCUCAGGAGAACUCUGCUCACAAAUGCAAAUAAGGUAAAAUUCCUAGGUUAUCAUUUUUUGCCUUCUGAUCCAGCCUCUAAAACCCUUCCCAUACAACAUAAGAAUUGCAACGCUAAAGUAAGUUUUUUAAAUAUUUAUUUUAACAUAUGAGGAUGAUCGAGUUGGAAAGAUCCAAAGAUUGGAAAUAAGUAUUGUGCUACUGUGGAAAUUUUUAAGUAUAAGCACUUUACAGUGUGACAAUCAGGUUCUGGAUAUGGACAGCAUGCUGCCAACUAAAAAAAAAAAAAACAUGAAAAGAAAUUUAGGUCAUCAAUGCUUGAUGUACAUUCACCUUUUUUCCUUCUGAAAACUCUCAUAACACAUUCUGUGUUUAUGACAAUUUGUAAGGAAAAAAGGCCUUCUGUUUCUGAAAGGUUUAUUGAGAAAUUAAGCAUUCUUAAAAGAAAAUGUAGUUUCCGUCAGUCCUAAGCAAGUUUAAAUCCAUUUUAACCGUAUCAGCAGAAGAAAUUUUACUCAAUUGGGCAAUCUAUAAUUGGAAACACCUAUUCAUAAAUCUCUUGGCCGGCUCUUUUCACAUAUGGGAUGUUGUGUUUUGGUUUGCUAUGAAGUUCAGUUUUGAGAAAAAACAUCAACACUAAUCCACUUGUAACUGGAUCCCCAGCCUCCAUCCUUAAAGCCUGAGUAAGUAAAGUAUCUUUUCUUUUCAUAGAAAGAAAUUUGGAAAAAUGCCAGCUCACUGUACGAAGGCUGCAAUAAGAUGGGCAGAGAAGGGUGUUGGUGUCGGUAAGAGAAAAAUGACUGAAGUUUCAUCAUCUGUAUGAUUAAAAUCACUGUGUGAAUUUUGAUUUCCCCCCCUCCUUUCAGACAUUCAGACAUUUGGCAGGAUGCUGCCAAAUCAAUGGAGUUCUGUUGUAGUGGUUGCUUCAGUGAACAUUCAACGCUGUCGGUGAGUUUGGAAUUAAAGUGAAAACCAUCGACCGUUGAUUGUACCCUCCAGCUAACCAUCCUCCUCCUUACUUCAUGCUUUCAGGCCUUAACAGCGAAGAUAGCAACCUUACCACCACACGAUGUUUCUCCCUCACUCUGCCAAGCGUUACAAAAAAAGGUCACAAUCAACAUUCAUUGCUGUCGGUGGGUUUAACUAUGUGGACAAGCUCACUGAACAAUGAAUGCAACUGUGGCCCCACAUUUUACUGUCGUCAUUAAGAGGAACAUCAGCUCUGAAAGUGGUAGUCGGAAGCAAACACCUCUUACAGGCUACGUUUUUCUGCUCAAAAAGUAGUUGGGGAUAUUUAAUUUUUGCUUGCUUGUUUUAAACUCUGUUUAAGCUAGCUGACUAGAAAAAAAAAUCACUGCAUUUUUGUAGAAUGUGCCUUCUCAGGGUUCAGCAUCACUGAAAUCAUAAAAAUUCUUAUUCAUUAUGCAUGUUGAACUUUGUUUAUAUACAGUCCUAAGGAUUCUGACUAUAGGUGGAAAUAAUACUUAAAUCUCAUUUUUAAUUGUUGUGGAAUAGUUCAAAAAUUUAUUCUCUAUUUGUCAUAACAAAUACAAAUGGGAGCCAUAGUUGAAAGAUAUGGAUAAAAUGUUAAACAAAGCAUUAAUUAAUUUUACAUGAAACUGAUUUCAAACACCUAAAUAAUCACUAUUAGACAGCAAAUAAUAUUACAUUUGCCUAUCGAAGAUAACAGAGAAAUGUAUAUCUAGUAAUAAUAAUGGAAUAGUAGUUAAAUUGUAAAAUAACUGUAAACUUUGGGCACCUAUGUCAUCUUCUCAGUAAUGCUGAUAGUAAAAAGAAAAUAAAAGUGUAAA
This is a long non-coding RNA of Cuculus canorus (common cuckoo), 5303 nucleotides long. RefSeq lists it as uncharacterized. The transcript is spliced from 4 exons. The record is from RefSeq and is a predicted model, not a curated record. Lineage: Eukaryota; Metazoa; Chordata; Aves; Cuculiformes; Cuculidae.